GACGUAGGGCGCGAACGUUGUCCGGAUUUACUGGGCGUAAAGCGCGCGUAGGCGGACUGGUAAGUCAGAGGUGAAAGUCUCCCGGCUCAACUGGGAUAGGCCCUUUGAUACUGCCAGCCUUGAGAUGCCUAGGAGGAGGAGUGGAAUUCCCGGUGUAGUGGUGGAAUGCGUAGAUAUCGGGAGGAACACCAGUGGCGAAAGCGGGCUCUCUGGGGGC
This 217-nucleotide ribosomal RNA is filed under the name uncultured bacterium. RNAcentral describes it as "partial 16S ribosomal RNA". It matches the Rfam family "Bacterial small subunit ribosomal RNA", at positions 524 to 736 of the family's 1533-position model. The record is from RNAcentral.